Molecule: ribosomal RNA, 468 nt
Filed under: uncultured bacterium
Lineage: Bacteria
Description: partial 16S ribosomal RNA
Rfam family: Bacterial small subunit ribosomal RNA
Source: RNAcentral
GACGAACGCUGGCGGCGUGCUUAACACAUGCAAGUCGAACGGAAAGGCCCUGCUUUUGUGGGGUGCUCGAGUGGCGAACGGGUGAGUAACACGUGAGUAACCUGCCCUUGACUUUGGGAUAACUUCAGGAAACUGGGGCUAAUACCGGAUAGGAGCUCCUGCUGCAUGGUGGGGGUUGGAAAGUUUCGGCGGUUGGGGAUGGACUCGCGGCUUAUCAGCUUGUUGGUGGGGUAGUGGCUUACCAAGGCUUUGACGGGUAGCUGGCCUGAGAGGGUGACCGGCCACAUUGGGACUGAGAUACGGCCCAGACUCCUACGGGAGGCAGCAGUGGGGAAUAUUGCACAAUGGGCGGAAGCCUGAUGCAGCAACGCCGCGUGCGGGAUGACGGCCUUCGGGUUGGAAACCGCUUUCGCCUGUGACGAAGCGUGAGUGACGGUAAUGGGUAAAGAAGCACCGGCUAACUACGUG